UGGGGAAUAUUGCACAAUGGAGGAAACUCUGAUGCAGCAACGCCGCGUGAGUGAAGAAGGUCUUCGGAUUGUAAAGCUCUGUUAAUCGGGACGAAAUAUGACGGUACCGAUAGAGGAAGCCACGGCUAACUACGUGCCAGCAGCCGCGGUAAUACGUAGGUGGCGAGCGUUGUCCGGAAUUACUGGGCGUAAAGGAUGCGUAGGUGGAUAAUUAAGUCAGAUGUGAAAAUCCCGGGCUCAACUUGGGAACUGCAUUUGAAACUGGAUAUCUAGAGUGCAGGAGAGGAAAGCGGAAUUCCUAGUGUAGCGGUGAAAUGCGUAGAUAUUAGGAAGAACACCAGUGGCGAAGGCGGCUUUCUGGACUGUAACUGACACUGAGGCGUGAAAGCGUGGGGAGCAAACA
This 403-nucleotide ribosomal RNA is filed under the name uncultured prokaryote. RNAcentral's name for it is "bacterial SSU rRNA". It matches the Rfam family "Bacterial small subunit ribosomal RNA", at positions 355 to 774 of the family's 1533-position model. The record is from RNAcentral.